GCGGAAACACAGACCAUUGCGGUCAACCGA
This 30-nucleotide small RNA is filed under the name Bombyx mori (domestic silkworm). RNAcentral's name for it is "ovarian small RNA-16915". The record is from RNAcentral. Lineage: Eukaryota; Metazoa; Arthropoda; Insecta; Lepidoptera; Bombycidae.